UAAGAGAAAAGGAAUGUAGUUAUGACUAAAUGCAUAUAACAAAUGCAUAUAACAAGCAGUACACAAGCAAUUGCUCACCCAGCAAAUGCCCAACGAGCCCCCCAAGUGGAAGAGAGCGAGAUGAACUCCCAUCACCUUCAGAACUCCUUCCACAUGAUGUCACAUGGUAUGGAAUAUUCCUUCGACCAGCUUCAGUCAGCUGUCCUCAUUCUGUUCUCUCCCAGAUCCCCAGGUCCUUCACUGAGCAUGGCCUUGCCUCUGUACAUCACUGCGUCACUUAUGCCCUGUCCCUGGAGGUGUUCAAGGCCAGGCUGGAUGGGACGCUGAGCAGCCUGGGCUGGUAUUAAAUGUGGAGGUUGGUGGCCCUGCCUGUGGCUGGAGAUUCAUGAUCCUUGAGGUCCCUUCCAACCCUGGCCAUUCUGUGAUUCUGCAGCUAUUAACACUGAUGUUUGACACUCUGAAGAAAAUAAUUCCAUCCCGGCUCAAACUAGCCACCUGUACAUUAUGGUCUUCCCUAGAGAGAAAGAGACCCCUAAAACAAACAGGAAGGACUAAGGGUUGGCCCACGUGCUCUCCGCUGCAAUGAUGCACCCACCAGGCCUCUGGGGGCUGGCCUGGUUCUAAUGUCUUCAGGGCCAUUUCUGUGCUGUGUCACUUCUUUGCAUCUCACCAGCUCUUCCCAUUCUAGAUUUUCCCUUGGGCCCAGAAGCAAAGAGUGAGGAAGACGGAAAGCCACAGAUGUGUAUCGUUGAAUUUCUGUUUGGAUAGAUCCCAGAAAGGAGCACCAAGUACUAAUGAACACCAUCUCUCCAUCCCUUUGUGCACUGUCAGUAUGGACUGCCCUACGGUGCUAUGCACAGAGCUCCACUUGCUUGCUGAUGAUCACCCUUAUCUCCAUUUGGGAGACAUGCAGCAGCCUGCACAGCCGUCUGUCAACAUGACCACUGCCAAGGCAGGAUUAGAUGAGCCACUGCAAUGACAGCAAAUAAUUGUGAGAGGCCCCCUGCUUCCCAUUGGAUCUGUGUUGCUCCAAGCAGCCCUGUAAAAUGCCAGGUACCACUCCCACAGAGUUCCCUGUUUGACAGGGACAUGAAGAAUUCACCUCUGAGAGUUACUCCAGCUAACAGCCUCCAUGUGACCUGUGCAGGCAGGAUGGCAAGAUGUUUGCCUUGCAGCCUGGCAGAGGCAGCCUGGGUGAAGUAAUUGGGAUGAGGCUGUGCCUGGCCACAGCAGAGAACUGGAGGUCUUCAGAAGAAGCUAUGGGCUUGGGCUGCUGGAUACGUCCCCAGCUUCUUGUCUGAGAGCUAGUCCAAGACUAAUUCAGCCUGCAGCAGGAUGCUCUCCCACAAGGCUUACCUCUUCUCAUCACAGCCCAUAUGGAUACUAUCCGCACCCAGCUUCUGUCCUGAGGGACCCAUGGGACACCAGACAAGCAGAGCUGCACUUGCUGGAACUGGAUAUUGGAUUUCAGAUUACAGAAUCACAGAACUGCAGGAGUUGGAAGGGACUUCAAGAGAUCAUCAAUACAACCCUCCUGCUAAAUCAGAUUCUCUACAAGAGUUUGCACAGGUUUUCCAACACUGCAAUAUCAAACUUUGCUUCAGCUUGGACUUCAGUUGCUUUUGAGCUAGACCAAACCAGUACUAAACUCCUCGACAAGUUAGUUUAGUCCAGGGCCAUGUGGAAUGGCUACCUUUCUCCUUGGGAAAAAGGAAUUCAAGUGUAGAAGACCUGCUCACAUAUGUGCUCACCAUUCAGUGAUGGAAACCUAUAGGUUCAGAGCUGAUUGGAGCAGACACAGUAACAUUGAGUUUUAUACUUGAUUACUUCAGAAAAGUAGAAAAUAAUCAAUGAAUCCAGCUGGUGCCAUAAAAUAUAUUUUGAAGAUGUUUUAAAAAAUAAUUUAAGUCUUAACAUUCUUGGUCACUUAAAAUACUCCAUUAGGAAUAGCCAAAAGCAGCAUUAAACUACUAUGUUCAGUUGCCUGUGAAUGCAGGAUUUUUGUGAAAUUAGAGGAUUUAAGGAAGAGGCAGAUUUGUAGUUCUUUAAUGGAUGCAUGGUUAAAAUUCUGCCUGUGGAAAGUAGUAUUUUUUGUUUUUAUUGCUGUAGUACAUAGAAGUGCUAAACUUGUGGCAUUUGAUUUAGGAGGGCAAGGUAAAUUCAAACUUAGUAUAAAUGAUUUUUUUGGUUAAUUACUAAGCAAUUUUAAAAUGGAUUUCCCAGAAACAUUGUUUAGUAGAAGUACUUAGAAGUACUUGAACCUGACAGGUAGUAUUUUCGAUACAGUUACACUUGUUUUCUAUUAUUUUAGGAAUUCAAAUCAUAUUCCCUGUUCAUUCACUCACAUCUGUAUUUAUAUACUUCCCUAGACCUGCUGCUGCAUUUCUACACUUGUUCUGCCAAAGAAAAGUAUAGAGCUGUCUAGAACUCAUCCUGCUUUCAAACAAACUGUUUACUUUAAAUCAGUUUUUAUAGCAGUGGUGAUUUAACUGCAAAUGGGAAACGUCAGCAUAGUUUUCUUAUUAACACUCUAUCAUGGAAUAUGCUUCAAUUAUUUCCCCUCCUUCUCUGCAUUUGCCAAAGAAAGCAGCUAAGCCACCUGCUGCUUUUACCGUGACUGCUCCAUUGCCUGGGAGGAGGAAAAAGCUGUUCUUGAUGUGGCGGCCUGUGCCAGCACACAGACACAAGGCACUGGUCACUCUAACAUGGCCAAUAGUCUAUUCUGGGGGCACAUCAUUUCCUGCAGCAGCAUCAAUCUCUUGUCAUGAGCUCUUCCACCAGCCGCAACCAGGGCUUCAGAAAGCUGCAGGGUAAGAAAGCAGGGUGGCAGAGAUCCAGAAUGCCUCCUUUGCGUUUUGUCCACAUCAGGAGACAUGGUUAGACUUACAGCAAGCCAUCCAACUUGGAAAGCACAGCUGCUAGAACUCAGUGGCUUUGACUAGAGAUAUCAAGCAAAGUAACCACUCAUCACAGACCCUGG
Molecule: long non-coding RNA, 2980 nt
Organism: Tympanuchus pallidicinctus (lesser prairie-chicken)
Lineage: Eukaryota; Metazoa; Chordata; Aves; Galliformes; Phasianidae
Exons: 5
Source: RefSeq, a predicted model, not a curated record